This is a long non-coding RNA of Cydia pomonella (codling moth), 517 nucleotides long. RefSeq lists it as uncharacterized. NCBI's taxonomy places the organism in Eukaryota, Metazoa, Arthropoda, Insecta, Lepidoptera, Tortricidae. The transcript has 2 exons. The record is from RefSeq and is a predicted model, not a curated record.
GGACAUGCAUUUAGGAGAACCUCUGCUACAUUACUUGCCGACUCAGGAGCUGCCAUAACAACUUUGAAGAGGCAUGGAGGUUGGCGGUCAAGUAAUGUAGCAGAAGGAUACAUAGAAAACUCCAUUGAUAACAAAUUAAAAAUUGGAAAACAAAUUGCAAAAUCAAUUAAUGUAAAGCCGCAAGAGCCCACAGAAUUUUCUUCAUCCACAUUCCAAUCUGGUCUUAAUGUACCUGUUAAUACUGAACCUCAACCAGGACCGUCACAUGCUAACAACACUUUGGUUACACCCAGCCCUGUUAACCAACCAGGACCGUCACGUGCCAACAACACUUGGAUUACACAUAGCCCCUCUAACUUUGACCCACAGGAAUUAUCACAACAGCAGGAACCUGAAAAUACACCAUGCCUGACUAGUCAGACACUUAAUUUACAUGGAAGAACUCACAACAUAACUAUGAACUGCACUAAUUGUACCAUUAACUAUAAUUAUUACUGAAAAUAAAAUAUUUCUGAUA